UUAACUCAAAUUUGUUUGGAGUUGGAAGGUUUUCCUACGUUUGCCGCUAGGGGCGCUGGUCCGGCUCCAUACACAAUUGAGUUA
This 84-nucleotide microRNA precursor is filed under the name Bombyx mori (domestic silkworm). RNAcentral's name for it is "mir-2807 microRNA precursor family". It matches the Rfam family "mir-2807 microRNA precursor family". Lineage: Eukaryota; Metazoa; Arthropoda; Insecta; Lepidoptera; Bombycidae. The record is from Rfam by way of RNAcentral.